CUCUGCCUCCCAUGGCCGACGGCCUCCACAGCGCAGCAGCCAUGGACGAGCUUCUUUUCUCCCCUGCUGUUCCCCUGCGUGCAGGGAGCACCAAGGCCAGCGCCCCCUUCUCCAAUGGCGUCCUUGCUGCAGGAUGCGCAGAAACUUCUCCAUGGCGCCCCCUGCUUCUUCCUCUCGCAGCACGGCAGCAAGCAGCCAUUCCCAUGGCCGAGCUUACCUCCCUGCGCCCUUCUCCCCCAUGGGCUGCUUAUCCAGCUCGUCCCUCUCCUCCCCUCUAUUUUCCUAUGCAUGCGCAGAGGCUCCUCCAUGGUCGUCGCCCCCCUGCAGCUUCCCCUUGCCGGCACCCCAGCAGCAGCAGCCCUGCGCAAAGCCCCUUCCCUUGCUACUUUCCGAUGUGCGCAGGGUGCUCGACGAAAUGUGCAGCAGCCUCGACGGCUCCGCGCGCUGCCGGCUUGCUGUUUUAUUGCGCAGUGAGCAGCACGCUGUGAGGCCCGUCGGUGGUUUGCUGUUUUUGCGCAGCCUCGCCGCCGUCGUCGUUCGCCCCGGUGAGGCCGCGACGCUCCUUGCUCGAUUCCGCAUCGACGUUAUUUUCCUAUGAUUAAUCAUGAAUGUGUGCUGCUUUGUUUUGUUUUGUGGAGGAGAGGAACCCCGUGUUUGGCGUGGAGAAGAAGGCAAGCCGCUCGACGCUCGUCGAUGUUUGUAGCGAUGCACAAAUCGGAAUCAUCGUCAUUCUUGCAAACGCGGAUUGGGUUUGUUUAUGGACCGUGAGAUGAUGAUUGAGCCAGUGAUGUGGUGCCACCCACAAGAUGCAGAUGGUGGACGUACUGAAGGAUGGUGGACUUAACCAGUGGAUACUCGCCGAGCGAGUACCCUCCCCCAGCAAACACUAUCUAAGUGUCAAAUUAAAGGCAAGCCCCGG
Molecule: unclassified non-coding RNA, 919 nt
Filed under: Zea mays
Lineage: Eukaryota; Viridiplantae; Streptophyta; Magnoliopsida; Poales; Poaceae
Description: misc RNA Zm00001eb335260
Source: RNAcentral